RNAcentral lists this ribosomal RNA (373 nucleotides) under uncultured eukaryote. RNAcentral describes it as "partial 18S ribosomal RNA". It matches the Rfam family "Eukaryotic small subunit ribosomal RNA", at positions 592 to 976 of the family's 1831-position model. The record is from RNAcentral.
CAAUAGCGUAUAUUAAAGUUGUUGCAGUUAAAAAGCUCGUAGUUGAAUUUUUGCUUGCCGCCGAUGUCGGAACUUCCGUACGUUCGGCGGCGUGCAUCCUUGGGUGGAACCUGUGUGGCAUUAGGUUGUCGUGCAGGGGAUGCUCAUCGCUUACUGUGAAAAAAUUAGAGUGUUCAAAGCAGGCUUACGCCGUUGAAUAUAUUAGCAUGGAAUAAUAAGAUAGGACCUUGGUACUAUUUUGUUGGUUUGCGCACCGAGGUAAUGAUUAACAGGGACAGUUGGGGGUAUUCGUAUUCCAUUGUCAGAGGUGAAAUUCUUGGAUUUCUGGAAGACGAACUACUGCGAAAGCAUUUACCAAGGAUGUUUUCAUUAA